GAUGAACGCUGGCGGCGUGCUUAACACAUGCAAGUCGAACGGACAGGCCCUGCUUUUGUGGUGUGCUCGUUAGGCGAACGGGUGAGUAACACGCGAGUAACCUGCCCCUGACUUUGGGAUAACUUUAGGAAACUGGGGCUCAUACAGGAUAGGAGCUCCUGCUCCACGGUGGGGGUUGGAAAGUUUCGGCGGUUGGGGAUGGACUAGCGGCUUAUCAGCUUGUUGGUGGGGUAGUGGCUUACCAAGGCUUUGAAGGGUAGCCGGCCUGAGAGGGUUACCGGCGACAUGGGGACUGAGAGACGGCCCAGACGCCUACGGGAGGCAGCAGUGGGGAAUAUUGCACAAUGGGCGGAAGCCUGAUGCAGCAACGCCGCGUGCGUGAUGACGGCCUUCGGGGUGUAAACCGCUGUCGCCUGUGACGAAGCGUGAGUGACGGUAAUGGGUAAAGAAGCACCGGCUAGCUACGUG
Molecule: ribosomal RNA, 468 nt
Filed under: uncultured bacterium
Lineage: Bacteria
Description: partial 16S ribosomal RNA
Rfam family: Bacterial small subunit ribosomal RNA
Source: RNAcentral